Molecule: ribosomal RNA, 341 nt
Filed under: uncultured prokaryote
Description: bacterial SSU rRNA
Rfam family: Bacterial small subunit ribosomal RNA
Source: RNAcentral
AGAUUGAACGCUGGCGGCGUGCCUAACACAUGCAAGUCAAGCGGUAACGCGGGAGCAAUCCUGGCGACGAGCGGCGAACGGGUGAGUAAUACUUCGGAAUCUACCCACGGGUGGGGAAUAACCAGCCGAAAGGUUGGGCAAUACCGAAUAUUGUCCGGAGCCGUGAAGGGUUCCGGGGAAAGGGAGGCCUCUGACACAAGCUUUCGCCUUAAGAUGAGCCCAUGGCCCAUCAGCUAGUUGGUAGGGUAAAGGCCUACCAAGGCUACGACGGGUCGCUGGUCUGAGAGGACGACCAGCCACACUGGCACUGAGAUACGGGCCAGACUCCUACGGGCGGCAGC